This is a long non-coding RNA of Hemicordylus capensis (graceful crag lizard), 5392 nucleotides long. RefSeq lists it as uncharacterized. The record is from RefSeq and is a predicted model, not a curated record. NCBI's taxonomy places the organism in Eukaryota, Metazoa, Chordata, Lepidosauria, Squamata, Cordylidae. The transcript has 3 exons.
GCUUCCUCCCUCAACUCCGGUUGGAGGCAAAGGCAAACUGUGCUCCUGGAUUGGACGUAACGAAGGUGCUGCCGAAAUGCAGUUAUCGGUGGCGUUAACUCACUACAGACCGAAGAGUCAGAAAAAAGUCACAAAGGAUGUGAAGGAAUGGAAACAGUGGUGGCAUAAGAUACGGCAACAUCUAAGGAGAAUAUGCAGAACAGCACUUGCUGCCCGCUGACUUGUGCCUUCUCACAAAGAGAUUUGUCUGGACAAGGAUUUGGGUUCUUCUGAUGUCACAUUGUUAUUUUCCAGCAAGCAGGGGCGAAAAAACAUUGCACCCCCAGGCCCUAAUAAAGACAGAAAACUUAACUGGAGAAAACUAGGGCCACUUUAUUGGUAUUACAUGCAUACAACCUGCAGCGAGGAAUAUACACUAACCAGAGUGUGGGUACUCCAUCCAUGUGGGUCAGCCCCAUAAGGAGGACUGCUCCACAGCAGGGCAAAGGGCCAUUUGCCGAUUCAGCCAGGCACCAAGUCCUGACAUCAUUUCACUGCAGGGUUUUCCCUGCUGGGGGAGGGCAGCCUGACCCAUCCCAACCCAAGCCUUACAACUCUGGGCGGUGAGCCAAGCCAACCUCCGUGUGGGGCUCCAGCCUAGCCCAGCGGGCUGAAAAACACUGAGGGGCUGUUCCUUGGCCCCCCUCCCACCUUAAAUGGUCCUCCAGCCCAACACCGUUACCAAAAUGACCUUUCCGAACCCUCACUCUCCUAAGUGAACAAAGAUCUUAUGUCCAGUGGAAGGAACCCCAUCAUAAAACUCAGUGAGAAGUAGGUGAAAAAAGACUGCACCUAAAGCCAACCAGGUGCAACCCCCCGCCCAAAUCCUACUUGGCCCCAGAUGGUGACUGGAUAACCCUCGCUGCGUACAGGACAGGCGGAUGGGUGCCUCACCACAGAGUGACUGGCAGCCACUGCAAGGAACCUGCUGCUUAUUCAGGCACUUCCAGCAUCAGAUUGGCUGGCCCACAUCAUGUGUGAUGGGAGGCCAGAGCAUAACAUGAUUGGCCGGCCCAGGUCACAUGGAAGGGGAGGCAAGAUGGUGGCCUGUGUGCCUACCCAUGGGGCUGGGUGCACAACCCCGACCCUCACCACACCACAAAUUGCGGGGAGCGGCAUUAUUAGAGGAGUGAGGAUUUUUCUAUUCACUAUAUAAUUACAGAAGUAAGAUAACUAAUGUAGUUAGUAUGUUAAUUAAUCAAGCUUGUUUGACAUUUUCAAACUUAUUCAAACAAUGGGCCAGAUUCCCCUCGGGAUAUAUUGUGCUCUUACACAUGAUCAGAAGGGGGUGGUUGCUAACUGAGGCCCUGCUAACUGAGCAAAGAGGCACCUUCUAAAGUGGUGAUUCUCUUAUAUUUAGUAGGGGGAAAUCAACUUUCCCUAUCUAACAACAGCAUAGCAUCCCUCCAGUGGCUGUUGCUGGUGUCCACAUGUUUCUUUUUAGAUGGUGAGCCCUUUGGGGAAAGGGUAUUAUCUUAUUUACAUUACUUUUCUCUGUUUAUUUUUCUUUGAGAACACCUGUUGAAAGGUGGUUUAUAAAUAGAAAUAGUAGUAGUUUGAGGCCAGGAAGGGAUCUUACCCUAAGACAGCCAAGCAGAGCCUCCAGUCCUUCCUAGGGUUUGCAUCAGGCUGUUUCUUGGCAAGGAGUGAACUAGGGACAUGCAAAUCAAUUUGUGACUGCAUCAGUUUGACUCAAAUCUGGUUGAUUUGAGUGUUUUGACCUCAAAUUGAAUCACCCUUGAGGAUGCUUACUAGAUUUGAGGUAGAAUCAAAUCACCCUUGAUUUGGGAUCAAAUCCAUUCAGCUAUUCGAGCCUCCAUUUUGUCCCCAACGAUCUCUAUAUUGUCCCCUCCAAGCUUCAGCCAUCAUUGCUGGGGUGGAUUUUUACACAUAUUCCCAAAAAUUCCUAAAAAUCCACCCCUUCAACCAAUUUCUUUGGGGGUUGGGUGGCAGUUGGCAACUUUGAUGCCCCUUAGCCCUUAAAAACUCCACCAAAUUGAUUGGAAUUUGAAUUGAAUCAAAGCAAAUUUGAAUCAAAUUGACCCAGAUUCAAGGGCAGCAGAUUUGAGCUCAAAUGGAAUCAGGCUGAAUUGAAUUGCAAAAAUUGAUUUGUCCACAUCCCAAGAGUAAUCCUGGAUUGGUCUAUUUCUGCCAAAUCCUAUCAACAUAUCCACUCUACAUUAUUUUCUUGGAAUGUACCCACUGUUACUCUUCAAGUCAGCUCCCAUAGCUGUCCAUGAUACUGCAGAAGAACUGGCCUCUCCAACUGACUGGGCGGCUUCACAUGUAUUGGUGGCAGGUAAGUAGUAGAUAACUGCGGGUUUCUAGUGAGCUUGUGCUCCUGGUUCUGCUGCCGCUUCUGUGUCCUUUGAAUCCACCAACGUUGGCUGGACAAUGUCGGGUUCCCUUUGCUGCCCAGUUCUCUGCCCAGCUUAAAAUGUUGGUUACAAAUUCUGGGCAGUGAAGGGAACCCAAUAUUCUCCACCUGACCAGGAGUGCUUGCUCAUUUGGAACCAUGUUUUCUCCUACUUGCUGCCAUUAUGUGUGAAGCUGUGCUGUCUACAGUUUUCCUGCCCCUGCAGUCCCUUCAUCUCAAUCUGUAAACAUAGCAAGACAUCAUCUGAACCCACAGUGCUAGGAAACGGUCAUGGAGAAUUAGCAGUUUUUAUGUUUUGUAAUGUGAUGAUUUACUGCUGCUGGUUUGACUUGCUGUUUUGAAUUCUGAAUUUUAAUGGUAGUGUUGAAAAUAUCAUCUGUUCCUCCUUUUAACCAUGGUUUUGUAUUCUGCUGCUACUAGAGUUGUCAUAGUUGGGUUUUGGAUGCUGCUUUUGAUUUUGAUUUUUUUUAAGGAAAUCAGCUUAUAAUAUAAGAAAGGAAGAUGAUGGAUUUGGGGGUUGGUGUAAUGUCCAAUCCUAAUAUACCCGUGGAUAUAACAGGAUUAUCUUCCUUGGAGGCCUUCAAGAGAGCCUUAAAGACCCAUCUUUUUAGCCUGGCUUUUAAUGAUAUCUAGUUCUAGUUUAAAUACAGUUGGGGUUUAUUUUUACUAGAAUUGUUUUACUAUGUGUUUCUGAUUUUAAUGUGAACUGCCCAGAGCCACUUUAGGAAGGAUGGUAUAUAAAUUGAAUGAAUGAAUGAAUGUGAUCAUUUGUGACAUGAUUGACUGACUGACUCUAUCUGUCUAUCUAUCGGCUGAUAUAUGUGUAUCUAGGCGAUGUACACAAUUUAAAACAUAACAAAUAUAAAACAGAGUAAAAAAAUCAAACAACUUCACAGAAUAAGAAGUUAAAACAAUCUCAUGGGAUAAAAAACAAUUAAACUAAAAACAGGUGUGUCUUGAGGGUCUUCCUAAAAGCAAAAUGGAGAAAGAGAUGCUCUUAUUUUGACAGGGAGCAUAUUCCAAAGCUCCGGGGCAGCCACAGAGAAGGCUCAUGUCCACUAGUUCAUGUAUUCAUUUGGUCUAGCAUUCCAAUGAGCAAAUUUGUGCAAUGAUUCCCCUCCAAAAUUGAAAAGGGCACACCAUACACAUCAGGCCAUGGCUGAUAUGGACCUCUUUGGGGGAGACUCACUUCGUAUUAUAUGAGAGGGAAAGGGAAUGUGCAACUCCUCCUCCUCCAGCAUGUGAACCCUUAACUGCUGGUAAUAUGAAAUGGGCUUGAUCGCUUUUUCCACAUUAAGCUCCACUCCUAUUUACCUAUGAAAACCAAGGAAGAAAACCAAGUGGGAGAACGCACCUUGGGAUGCUCUUUUGCAGUGUGAGAGAAGCCAUGCUACAAAAAAUGCAGCCCAGAACAAUUGCAAUAUACUCUUUAAACUAAGACCAUCAAACACACACCCCUGCCCCCAACAAUCAUUUGUCCUGAUGUGGCAAGAGAGAUCUGCGUGUUUAAGUGGCCUUCUCCAUGUAUUGCUGAAGCAGAUGCAGGUGGACAUCUGGAGUCACCUGCCCAUCUGUAUCGGGAUGCUCAUCAAGUCUGGUUGCAUUGGCUGUGUGCAACUUCUGAUGCCAGCGGUGGCGCUUACAUGUCUGCAUCCUGGGUGCCCCAGUAUUUAUUUACACAUGACUAGUUGCCUGCAACUGCAACUGGAUCAAAGCCAAAAUCUUUCUCUCUCUCUGAUCCACAGCCAUGCAUGCUUUUUUUGUACUUUGAAACCAGCAAAGCAGAAAUGAGAUUAAUGUGCCAACACUUUCCAUACCAAUGUUUUAUCUAGGAAAUUUGAGCCAGGAAUGUUUUCUUGGUGGGGAGGGUUGGUUUCAAAGUUGUUUUUUUAAAGUGGCUUUGAGGGGGGGGAAAGAGUUAGGUUUUGACACAGUUACUUGGUGCCACAUAAAAAUUAAGUGACUCGAAGAUCCUUUGGGGCCCUCGCACAGCUCCAACAUUUGCUAUACACACCUUUGCAUCUCAUUUUGUCAUAAAGCACUUACUGCCUUUGGUGAUGCUGUGGUUUUUAGGUGACCUCAGUAGCCCUCCUGUUAUAAAUCUCUAUUGAUCAUGUAUAGUACUCGAAUGAAUGGCAGUUUUUUAUGUGGUGGGAAUAAUUGAUUUACUUUUCCCUCCCCGUCCCCCGCACAACUAUUAUACUAUAGGGUUAUCAAGGGACAGAAUAAUAGCUCUUCGUGUAGCAAUUAUUUUUGCAAGGUACUGUACUCAGCUAUGUUCAGGCAUAAUUACCUAGUAAUCUGGUAUGUAACUGCAAAGUAUUAUUUAUUUAUUUAUUUAUUUAUUUAUUUAUUCAAUUUCUAUACCACCCUUCCAACAAUGGCUCAGGGUGUUUUACACAGAGAAAUGAUAAAUAAAUAAGAUGGAUCCCUGUCCCCAAAGGGCUCACAAUCUUAAAGAACACAAGAUAGACACCAGCAACAGUCACUGGAGGUACUGUACUGGGGGUGAAUAGGGCCAGUUACUCUCCCCCUGCUAAAUAAAGAGAAUCGCCAUGUUAAAAGGUGCCUCUUUGCCAAGUUGGCAGGGGUUAAUGUAUAAUAUUUACACCUUGUAAAAUAAAAGCAGGCAUUUAAAAGUAGUAAAUAUUUUCCAGUUUUCCUUUAAAGUUUUCUCCGUGUUUCCCAUCAGCCAAUGGUGGGGUGUGUUUUCCUUCACCCAAACCUUCUUAAUUGUGCCAGGUUUGUGCAAGUUAUUAUUUAACUUGCCAUAUCCAGGGAGCUUAUCAGUUCACGUGAUGUGCCUGCAUUUUUAUUCCAGAUUCAUUGGUAAGAGCAGCAAGGAGUAUGACGGUGGUCUCUGAAGCACAAAGGAUCUUCGUGUUUAUUAGCGGUGCUGGGAGACCUUGGAAGAAGCAACACAGAAAGCAAACUCCCACGCCUAGGGAUAGCAUAAUUAAAUUCAAUGAAGCUGUU